Molecule: ribosomal RNA, 114 nt
Filed under: Spirochaetaceae bacterium
Lineage: Bacteria; Pseudomonadati; Spirochaetota; Spirochaetia; Spirochaetales; Spirochaetaceae
Source: RNAcentral
CCUGGUGACCAUAGCGGAGGGGUCCCACCCGUUCCCAUUCCGAACACGGAAGUUAAGCCCUCCAGCGCCGAUGGUACUGUCCAGUCAGGGCGGGAGAGUAGGUCGUCGCCAGGC